Molecule: ribosomal RNA, 403 nt
Filed under: uncultured microorganism
Description: bacterial SSU rRNA
Rfam family: Archaeal small subunit ribosomal RNA
Source: RNAcentral
GCGCAGCAGUCGCGAAACCUCCGCAAUACACGAAAGUGUGACGGGGCCAUCCCGAGUGCCGUCCGCUGAGGACGGCUUUUCCCCAGUGUACACAGCUGGGGGAAUAAGGAGAGGGCAAGCCUGGUGUCAGCCGCCGCGGUAAUACCAGCUCUCCGAGUGGUGGGGACGCUUAUUGGGCCUAAAGCAUCCGUAGCCGGCUGGGCAAGUCCUCCGUUAAAUCCAACGAUUCAAUCGUUGGGCUGCGGGGGAUACUGUCCAGCUUGGGGGCGGGAGAGGCCGACGGUAUUCCCGGGGUAGGGGUGAAAUCCUAUAAUCCCGGGAGGACCACCAGUGGCGAAGGCUGUCGGCUAGAACGCGCCCGACGGUGAGGGAUGAAAGCUGGGGGAGCGAACCGGAUUAGAUA